Molecule: ribosomal RNA, 2923 nt
Filed under: Klebsiella quasipneumoniae
Lineage: Bacteria; Pseudomonadati; Pseudomonadota; Gammaproteobacteria; Enterobacterales; Enterobacteriaceae
Description: 23S ribosomal RNA
Rfam family: Bacterial large subunit ribosomal RNA
Source: RNAcentral
GGGUUGUGAGGUUAAGCGACUAAGCGUACACGGUGGAUGCCCUGGCAGUCAGAGGCGAUGAAGGACGUGCUAAUCUGCGAAAAGCGUCGGUAAGGUGAUAUGAACCGUUAUAACCGGCGAUGUCCGAAUGGGGAAACCCAGUGUGAUUCGUCACACUAUCGUUAACUGAAUACAUAGGUUAACGAGGCGAACCGGGGGAACUGAAACAUCUAAGUACCCCGAGGAAAAGAAAUCAACCGAGAUUCCCCCAGUAGCGGCGAGCGAACGGGGAGCAGCCCAGAGUCUGAAUCAGCUUGUGUGUUAGUGGAACGGUCUGGAAAGUCCGACGGUACAGGGUGAUAGUCCCGUACACCAAAAUGCACAGGCUGUGAACUCGAAGAGUAGGGCGGGACACGUGGUAUCCUGUCUGAAUAUGGGGGGACCAUCCUCCAAGGCUAAAUACUCCUGACUGACCGAUAGUGAACCAGUACCGUGAGGGAAAGGCGAAAAGAACCCCGGCGAGGGGAGUGAAAAAGAACCUGAAACCGUGUACGUACAAGCAGUGGGAGCACCUUCGGGUGUGACUGCGUACCUUUUGUAUAAUGGGUCAGCGACUUAUAUUCUGUAGCAAGGUUAACCGUAUAGGGGAGCCGCAGGGAAACCGAGUCUUAACUGGGCGUUAAGUUGCAGGGUAUAGACCCGAAACCCGGUGAUCUAGCCAUGGGCAGGUUGAAGGUUGGGUAACACUAACUGGAGGACCGAACCGACUAAUGUUGAAAAAUUAGCGGAUGACUUGUGGCUGGGGGUGAAAGGCCAAUCAAACCGGGAGAUAGCUGGUUCUCCCCGAAAGCUAUUUAGGUAGCGCCUCGUGAAUUCAUCUUCGGGGGUAGAGCACUGUUUCGGCUAGGGGGUCAUCCCGACUUACCAACCCGAUGCAAACUACGAAUACCGAAGAAUGUUAUCACGGGAGACACACGGCGGGUGCUAACGUCCGUCGUGAAGAGGGAAACAACCCAGACCGCCAGCUAAGGUCCCAAAGUCAUGGUUAAGUGGGAAACGAUGUGGGAAGGCACAGACAGCCAGGAUGUUGGCUUAGAAGCAGCCAUCAUUUAAAGAAAGCGUAAUAGCUCACUGGUCGAGUCGGCCUGCGCGGAAGAUGUAACGGGGCUAAACCAUGCACCGAAGCUGCGGCAGCGACACUAUGUGUUGUUGGGUAGGGGAGCGUUCUGUAAGCCUGCGAAGGUGACCUGUGAGGGUUGCUGGAGGUAUCAGAAGUGCGAAUGCUGACAUAAGUAACGAUAAAGCGGGUGAAAAGCCCGCUCGCCGGAAGACCAAGGGUUCCUGUCCAACGUUAAUCGGGGCAGGGUGAGUCGACCCCUAAGGCGAGGCCGAAAGGCGUAGUCGAUGGGAAACAGGUUAAUAUUCCUGUACUUGGUGUUACUGCGAAGGGGGGACGGAGAAGGCUAUGUUAGCCGGGCGACGGUUGUCCCGGUUUAAGCAUGUAGGCUGAUUAUCCAGGCAAAUCCGGAUAAUCAAGGCUGAGGUGUGAUGACGAGGCACUACGGUGCUGAAGUAACAAAUGCCCUGCUUCCAGGAAAAGCCUCUAAGCAUCAGGUAACAUCAAAUCGUACCCCAAACCGACACAGGUGGUCAGGUAGAGAAUACCAAGGCGCUUGAGAGAACUCGGGUGAAGGAACUAGGCAAAAUGGUGCCGUAACUUCGGGAGAAGGCACGCUGGUGUGUAGGUGAAGCCCCUGCGGGUGGAGCUGAGACCAGUCGAAGAUACCAGCUGGCUGCAACUGUUUAUUAAAAACACAGCACUGUGCAAACACGAAAGUGGACGUAUACGGUGUGACGCCUGCCCGGUGCCGGAAGGUUAAUUGAUGGGGUUAUCCGUAAGGAGAAGCUCUUGAUCGAAGCCCCGGUAAACGGCGGCCGUAACUAUAACGGUCCUAAGGUAGCGAAAUUCCUUGUCGGGUAAGUUCCGACCUGCACGAAUGGCGUAAUGAUGGCCAGGCUGUCUCCACCCGAGACUCAGUGAAAUUGAACUCGCUGUGAAGAUGCAGUGUACCCGCGGCAAGACGGAAAGACCCCGUGAACCUUUACUAUAGCUUGACACUGAACAUUGAGCCUUGAUGUGUAGGAUAGGUGGGAGGCUUUGAAGCGUGGACGCCAGUCUGCGUGGAGCCAACCUUGAAAUACCACCCUUUAAUGUUUGAUGUUCUAACGUUGGCCCCUUAUCGGGGUUGCGGACAGUGUCUGGUGGGUAGUUUGACUGGGGCGGUCUCCUCCCAAAGCGUAACGGAGGAGCACGAAGGUUAGCUAAUCCUGGUCGGACAUCAGGAGGUUAGUGCAAUGGCAUAAGCUAGCUUGACUGCGAGCGUGACGGCGCGAGCAGGUGCGAAAGCAGGUCAUAGUGAUCCGGUGGUUCUGAAUGGAAGGGCCAUCGCUCAACGGAUAAAAGGUACUCCGGGGAUAACAGGCUGAUACCGCCCAAGAGUUCAUAUCGACGGCGGUGUUUGGCACCUCGAUGUCGGCUCAUCACAUCCUGGGGCUGAAGUAGGUCCCAAGGGUAUGGCUGUUCGCCAUUUAAAGUGGUACGCGAGCUGGGUUUAGAACGUCGUGAGACAGUUCGGUCCCUAUCUGCCGUGGGCGCUGGAGAAUUGAGGGGGGCUGCUCCUAGUACGAGAGGACCGGAGUGGACGCAUCACUGGUGUUCGGGUUGUCAUGCCAAUGGCACUGCCCGGUAGCUAAAUGCGGAAGAGAUAAGUGCUGAAAGCAUCUAAGCACGAAACUUGCCCCGAGAUGAGUUCUCCCUGAGACUUUAAGUCUCCUGAAGGAACGUUGAAGACGACGACGUUGAUAGGCCGGGUGUGUAAGCGCAGCGAUGCGUUGAGCUAACCGGUACUAAUGAACCGUGAGGCUUAACCUUACAACGCCGAAG